UACGGAGGGUGCAAGCGUUAUUCGGAUUGACUGGGCGUAAAGCGCGCGUAGGCGGCUUACUAAGUCUGAUGUGAAAUCCCUGGACUCAAUCCAGGAAGUGCAUUGGAUACUGGUAAGCUGGAGUACAGGAGAGGAGAGCGGAAUUCCAGGUGUAGAGGUGAAAUUCGUAGAUAUCUGGAGGAACAACAGAGGCGAAGGCGGCUCUCUGGACUGUUACUGACGCUGAGGCGCGAAAGCGUGGGGAGCAAACAGG
Molecule: ribosomal RNA, 253 nt
Filed under: uncultured bacterium
Lineage: Bacteria
Also listed under: 1 other name
Description: partial 16S ribosomal RNA
Rfam family: Bacterial small subunit ribosomal RNA
Source: RNAcentral